This 495-nucleotide ribosomal RNA is filed under the name Brevibacillus centrosporus. RNAcentral describes it as "bacterial SSU rRNA". It matches the Rfam family "Bacterial small subunit ribosomal RNA", at positions 996 to 1494 of the family's 1533-position model. Lineage: Bacteria; Bacillati; Bacillota; Bacilli; Caryophanales; Paenibacillaceae. The record is from RNAcentral.
CGCUCUGGAGACAGAGCUUCCNUUCGGGGCAGCGGUGACAGGUGGUGCAUGGUUGUCGUCAGCUCGUGUCGUGAGAUGUUGGGUUAAGUCCCGCAACGAGCGCAACCCUUAUUUCUAGUUGCCAGCAUUCAGUUGGGCACUCUAGAGAGACUGCCGUCGACAAGACGGAGGAAGGCGGGGAUGACGUCAAAUCAUCAUGCCCCUUAUGACCUGGGCUACACACGUGCUACAAUGGUUGGUACAACGGGAUGCUACCUCGCGAGAGGACGCCAAUCUCUUAAAACCAAUCUCAGUUCGGAUUGUAGGCUGCAACUCGCCUACAUGAAGUCGGAAUCGCUAGUAAUCGCGGAUCAGCAUGCCGCGGUGAAUACGUUCCCGGGCCUUGUACACACCGCCCGUCACACCACGGGAGUUUGCAACACCCGAAGUCGGUGAGGUAACCGCAAGGAGCCAGCCGCCGAAGGUGGGGUAGAUGACUGGGGUGAAGUCGAACAA